AGCUAGCAUGGCAUCAUGGUUUGAGAGUCAGGCUGUGACUCUGGAGACCAGGGUUCGAUUCCCUGCUUGGCCA
This is a non-coding RNA of Phrynosoma platyrhinos (Desert horned lizard), 73 nucleotides long. The record is from the annotation of a GenBank genome assembly. Lineage: Eukaryota; Metazoa; Chordata; Lepidosauria; Squamata; Phrynosomatidae.